RNAcentral lists this ribosomal RNA (255 nucleotides) under uncultured bacterium. RNAcentral's name for it is "partial 16S ribosomal RNA". It matches the Rfam family "Bacterial small subunit ribosomal RNA", at positions 526 to 779 of the family's 1533-position model. The record is from RNAcentral.
CGUAGGUGGCGAGCGUUAUCCGGAAUUACUGGGCGUAAAGCGCAAGCAGGCGGUCUGUUAAGUUUGACGUAAAAUCUCCUGGCUUAACUGGGAGGGGUCGUUGGAGACUGGCAGACUUGAGGCGAUGAGAGGGGCAUGGAAUUCCCGGUGUAGUGGUGGAAUGCGUAGAGAUCGGGAGGAACACCAGAGGCGAAAGCGGUGCCCUGGCAUUGGCCUGACGCUGAGAUGCGAAAGCGUGGGGGAGCGAACGGGAUU